RNAcentral lists this ribosomal RNA (1451 nucleotides) under uncultured bacterium. Its description in RNAcentral is "bacterial SSU rRNA". It matches the Rfam family "Bacterial small subunit ribosomal RNA". The record is from RNAcentral.
AUUGAACGCUGGCGGCAUGCCUUACACAUGCAAGUCGAACGGCAGCGCGGGGCAACCUGGCGGCGAGUGGCGAACGGGUGAGUAAUAUAUCGGAACGUACCCUGGAGUGGGGGAUAACGUAGCGAAAGUUACGCUAAUACCGCAUACGAUCUAAGGAUGAAAGUGGGGGAUCGCAAGACCUCAUGCUCCUGGAGCGGCCGAUAUCUGAUUAGCUAGUUGGUAGGGUAAAAGCCUACCAAGGCAUCGAUCAGUAGCUGGUCUGAGAGGACGACCAGCCACACUGGAACUGAGACACGGUCCAGACUCCUACGGGAGGCAGCAGUGGGGAAUUUUGGACAAUGGGCGCAAGCCUGAUCCAGCAAUGCCGCGUGAGUGAAGAAGGCCUUCGGGUUGUAAAGCUCUUUUGUCAGGGAAGAAACGGUGUUUUCUAAUACAGAGCGCUAAUGACGGUACCUGAAGAAUAAGCACCGGCUAACUACGUGCCAGCAGCCGCGGUAAUACGUAGGGUGCAAGCGUUAAUCGGAAUUACUGGGCGUAAAGCGUGCGCAGGCGGUUUUGUAAGACUGUCGUGAAAUCCCCGGGCUCAACCUGGGAAUGGCGAUGGUGACUGCAAGGCUAGAGUUUGGCAGAGGGGGGUAGAAUUCCACGUGUAGCAGUGAAAUGCGUAGAUAUGUGGAGGAACACCGAUGGCGAAGGCAGCCCCCUGGGUCAAAACUGACGCUCAUGCACGAAAGCGUGGGGAGCAAACAGGAUUAGAUACCCUGGUAGUCCACGCCCUAAACGAUGUCUACUAGUUGUCGGGUUUUAAUUAACUUGGUAACGCAGCUAACGCGUGAAGUAGACCGCCUGGGGAGUACGGUCGCAAGAUUAAAACUCAAAGGAAUUGACGGGGACCCGCACAAGCGGUGGAUGAUGUGGAUUAAUUCGAUGCAACGCGAAAAACCUUACCUACCCUUGACAUGGCAGAAAUCCCGGAGAGAUUUGGGAGUGCUCGAAAGAGAAUCUGCACACAGGUGCUGCAUGGCUGUCGUCAGCUCGUGUCGUGAGAUGUUGGGUUAAGUCCCGCAACGAGCGCAACCCUUGUCAUUAGUUGCUACGAAAGAGCACUCUAAUGAGACUGCCGGUGACAAACCGGAGGAAGGUGGGGAUGACGUCAAGUCCUCAUGGCCCUUAUGGGUAGGGCUUCACACGUCAUACAAUGGUACAUACAGAGGGCCGCCAACCCGCGAGGGGGAGCUAAUCCCAGAAAGUGUAUCGUAGUCCGGAUUGUAGUCUGCAACUCGACUGCAUGAAGUUGGAAUCGCUAGUAAUCGCGGAUCAGCAUGUCGCGGUGAAUACGUUCCCGGGUCUUGUACACACCGCCCGUCACACCAUGGGAGCGGGUUUUACCAGAAGUAGGUAGCUUAACCGUAAGGAGGGCGCUUACCACGGUAGGAUUCGUGACUGGGGUG